RNAcentral lists this ribosomal RNA (252 nucleotides) under uncultured Bacteroidales bacterium. Its description in RNAcentral is "partial 16S ribosomal RNA". It matches the Rfam family "Bacterial small subunit ribosomal RNA", at positions 524 to 776 of the family's 1533-position model. Lineage: Bacteria; Pseudomonadati; Bacteroidota; Bacteroidia; Bacteroidales. The record is from RNAcentral.
UACGGAGGAUGCGAGCGUUAUCCGGAUUUAUUGGGUUUAAAGGGUGCGCAGGCGGAAUGUCAAGUCAGCGGUAAAAUCGAGGGGCUCAACCCCUUUAAGCCGUUGAAACUGGUGAUCUUGAGUGGGCGAGAAGUAUGCGGAAUGCGUGGUGUAGCGGUGAAAUGCAUAGAUAUCACGCAGAACUCCGAUUGCGAAGGCAGCAUACCGGCGCCCGACUGACGCUGAAGCACGAGAGCGUGGGUAGCGAACAGG